Long non-coding RNA from Schistocerca serialis cubense, 449 nucleotides. RefSeq lists it as uncharacterized. The record is from RefSeq and is a predicted model, not a curated record. NCBI's taxonomy places the organism in Eukaryota, Metazoa, Arthropoda, Insecta, Orthoptera, Acrididae. The transcript is spliced from 3 exons.
UUCCGCGAUUUCUGCGACUUCUGCUACUUCUGCGAUUUCUGUGACUCCUGCGAUUUCUGCGACUUACCACCGUAUGAAAAAGUUACAUCUGUCCACACAGAAAAUUGCAUCUCAACAAACCUGUCAUUGGUACGCGAACUACAUUUCAGUCACUCAGUAAAGUGAUAACUCAAAAUAUCAUUGUCAACAGAUCUGGAGAAAUUGCCACUGCGUCUUUAGACCGUUUUCGUCAGACGAGAGACACAGUUCUGACUCUGAUUACUGGUUGCUGUACGUAUCUAUCCACAUCAAGGCUGUUGAGAGACACUCGUGAAGAUUCAAGACAGCUCUUAGAAGAUUUUGCAGUUUAAAAGUGACAUAAUUGUGAAAUAAGUGUGCAGAUGAGUGAUUAAACUGUGUUUUAUUGAAGUUGUUGUGCGAUUUUAAAGGAAUAAUAAAUGUUAAAUACA